GACGGAGGAUGCAAGCGUUAUCCGGAAUGAUUGGGCGUAAAGCGUCCGCAGGUGGCAGUUCAAGUCUGCUGUCAAAGACCGGGGCUUAACUUCGGAAAGGCAGUGGAAACUGAACAGCUAGAGUAUGGUAGGGGCAGAGGGAAUUCCUGGUGUAGCGGUGAAAUGCGUAGAGAUCAGGAAGAACAUCGGUGGCGAAGGCGGCUUUCUGGGCCUUACCUGACGCUGAGACGCGAAAGCGUGGGGAGCGAACCGG
RNAcentral lists this ribosomal RNA (253 nucleotides) under uncultured bacterium. Its description in RNAcentral is "partial 16S ribosomal RNA". It matches the Rfam family "Bacterial small subunit ribosomal RNA", at positions 524 to 776 of the family's 1533-position model. The record is from RNAcentral.